AGUGAACGCUGGCGGUAGGCCUAACACAUGCAAGUCGAACGGCAGCACAGUAAGAGCUUGCUCUUACGGGUGGCGAGUGGCGGACGGGUGAGGAAUACAUCGGAAUCUACUUUUUCGUGGGGGAUAACGUAGGGAAACUUACGCUAAUACCGCAUACGACCUACGGGUGAAAGCAGGGGAUCUUCGGACCUUGCGCGAUUGAAUGAGCCGAUGUCGGAUUAGCUAGUUGGCGGGGUAAAGGCCCACCAAGGCGACGAUCCGUAGCUGGUCUGAGAGGAUGAUAAGCCACACUGGAACUGAGACACGGUCAAGACUCCUACGGGAGGCAGCAGUGGGGAAUAUUGGACAAUGGGCGCAAGCCUGAUCCAGCCAUACCGCGUGGGUGAAGAAGGCCUUCGGGUUGUAAAGACCUUUUGUUGGGAAAGAAAAGCAGCAGGUUAAUACCCAGCUGUUCUGACGGUACCCAAAGAAUAAGCACCGGCUAACUACGUG
RNAcentral lists this ribosomal RNA (492 nucleotides) under uncultured bacterium. RNAcentral describes it as "partial 16S ribosomal RNA". It matches the Rfam family "Bacterial small subunit ribosomal RNA", at positions 29 to 507 of the family's 1533-position model. The record is from RNAcentral.